Molecule: ribosomal RNA, 300 nt
Filed under: uncultured bacterium
Lineage: Bacteria
Description: bacterial SSU rRNA
Rfam family: Bacterial small subunit ribosomal RNA
Source: RNAcentral
GAGCUCCUACGGGAGGCAGCAGUGGGGAAUAUUGGGCAAUGGGCGCAAGCCUGACCCAGCAACGCCGCGUGAAGGAAGAAGGCUUUCGGGUUGUAAACUUCUUUUCUCAGGGACGAGGCAAGUGACGGUACCUGAGGAAUAAGCCACGGCUAACUACGUGCCAGCAGCCGCGGUAAUACGUAGGUGGCAAGCGUUAUCCGGAUUUACUGGGUGUAAAGGGCGUGUAGGCGGGGACGCAAGUCAGAUGUGAAAACCACGGGCUCAACCUGUGGCCUGGAUUUGACACCGGGCUUCUUUAGU